UUGAUUUGCGGACGGGAUUAGCUGGUUCUCAUCCGGAAGGGAAGGGAUAAGCGGAAUAGUUGGGAUAAUGUUCUCGAACGGAAGGAGAUGGGAUGCUCAUCCGGCUGGGAGCAGAUUGGCUCGAUUCGGGAGAAGAAAUCUGGAGAGAGAAGUUGGGAGGAUCAACGUGGAGGAGAUGACGGAGAACAGGGGAUGUUUCGGUUUUGGAUGAAUGUCGUGGAACAAGGGAGUUGGAAAGGAUUCGUAAAAUCUGGGACUUGGAAUUCAAUCAAACGUGGAUGCUGGGAUGUUAGGUAGAUUAAGCCGGAAGAUAAGAUGGAGGAAUUGGAUUCGGAAGUUGGGAGGAAAGGCCGAUCUGUGGGAUAUUAGAAGGAUAGAUUCAGCUGGGAAUCUUGGUUUGGGGUGUCCGGGAUGCAUGGGAUUCGGAGAGGUGAACUCAUCCGUGGAUGGAGUCAAUCCCAAAUGGGAGAGGAAGAAACGAGGAGUGCUCUGUUAGCUGGACACAGGGGAUGAGGAUGAAGUUUCGGAUGGAGAAGGAUGCGGACGCGAGAUGAACUCGGGACA
Molecule: long non-coding RNA, 564 nt
Filed under: Phoenix dactylifera (date palm)
Lineage: Eukaryota; Viridiplantae; Streptophyta; Magnoliopsida; Arecales; Arecaceae
Description: long non-coding RNA (PDAC_LNC021615)
Source: RNAcentral